GGACCUUUGGCCUGUUAAAGGUCUGUAAUCUUGGUGGGCGAUACAGAGUUAUGUGUGUUCACUGUAAGGGCAGACCAACAAGAACUUUUUCCUACUUUUGAGCUACCUCUUUUUAAUAGGGGUGAUUCUUCCAGUUGCUGGAGAGAAAUUGUGGUAACUGGAGUGAGAGAGUAGGAACAGGGCAUGUUCAGGGUAUCAGGGCCAAGGGUCCUAAAGGACUUAGCUUGUGUUAUGGCCACUGAGAGAUG
This is a long non-coding RNA of Homo sapiens (human), 248 nucleotides long. Lineage: Eukaryota; Metazoa; Chordata; Mammalia; Primates; Hominidae. The record is from Ensembl.